Molecule: ribosomal RNA, 300 nt
Filed under: uncultured Lactobacillus sp.
Lineage: Bacteria; Bacillati; Bacillota; Bacilli; Lactobacillales; Lactobacillaceae
Description: bacterial SSU rRNA
Rfam family: Bacterial small subunit ribosomal RNA
Source: RNAcentral
GCGACGUCCGUGCCAGUGACUGGGGUAGUACGUGGGGUUGAAGCGUUAUCCGGAUGUACUGUGUUUAAAGGGUGCGUAGGCGGCUCUUGAAGUCAGUGGUGAAAGCCUAGUGCUUAACACUAGAAUUGCCAUUGAAACUGAAGAGCUUGAGUCAAGGAGAGGUAAGCAGAAUUUAUGGUGUAGCAGUGAAAUGCUUAGAUACCAUAAGGAAUACCAAUAGCGAAGGCAGCUUACUGGCCUUGCACUGACGCUGAGGCACGAAAGCGUGGGGAGCAAACAGGAUUAGAUACCCGUGUAGUC